GUAGUUUAUGGUAUUUCUGUUGCUGCUGGUGAGAUUUUCAGGAAACAUGCUCGGAUGUUGAAACUGGAUGUUAUUACACCAUUGAUUCCUGUGCAAGGAAGUAUAUUGUCUCAAGGAACUUAUGAAGAUGAUUCAAGUAUGUAUAGUUCUUUGCUAGACAUUGAGACUGACAGCACUGUACCCCAUCUACCACCUUCCCUACCAUCAUGGAUGUGGGCCUCUAAUGUGGCAAUAUAUUCCAAUCACUCACCAAAGGGCAAUAUGCUGGAUGAAGAAAGACCUCCAUGGGGCUGGACUGAUGAGGGAACGGAGAUCAAAAACUCCUCAUUUUCAUGUUCUAAGUUAUUUUCGCUGAUUGAGAUGCCAUUGACAGUGCCUAGACGGUUAACAAUACCAUUGGUUGAUGAAGGAACAUGGUCAAAACCCUAUGCUGUAGCCAGUGUUACAUUGGCUCCUAUUCUUCUGGCAUUUCUGUG
RNAcentral lists this unclassified non-coding RNA (476 nucleotides) under Hevea brasiliensis (rubber tree). Lineage: Eukaryota; Viridiplantae; Streptophyta; Magnoliopsida; Malpighiales; Euphorbiaceae. The record is from RNAcentral.